CCUACGGGCGGCUGCAGUCGAGAAUCUUCCGCAAUGGACGAAAGUCUGACGGAGCGACGCCGCGUGGUGGAUUAAGUCCUUAGGGACGUAAACACCUUUUAUGAGUGAAGAAGUAUAUUGACAUUAGCUCAUGAAUAAGGGGCUCCCAACUCUGUGCCAGCAGGAGCGGUAAUACAGAGGCCUCAAGCGUUGUCCGGAUUCACUGGGCGUAAAGGGUGCGUAGGCGGUUAUAUUAGUUGGGUGUAAAAUCCUGGGGCUCAACCUCAGGCUCGCAUUCGAAACGGUAUAACUAGAAGAAGUGAGAGGUAAACAGAACUCUCGGUGUAGGGGUGAAAUCCGUUGAUAUCGAGGGGAAUACCAAAUGCGAAGGCAGUUUACUGGCACUUUCUUGACGCUGAGGCACGAAAGCGUGGGUAGCGAACGGGAUUAGAUACCCUGGUAGUC
This 444-nucleotide ribosomal RNA is filed under the name uncultured bacterium. RNAcentral describes it as "bacterial SSU rRNA". It matches the Rfam family "Bacterial small subunit ribosomal RNA", at positions 338 to 795 of the family's 1533-position model. The record is from RNAcentral.